GGAGGGGUCGCAUAGUGGCCUAGUGCGGGCGCCUGCUAAGCGCUUACCGGUGGAAACGUCGGUCGAGGGUUCGAAUCCCUCCCCCUCCGCCA
RNAcentral lists this transfer RNA (92 nucleotides) under Chloroflexota bacterium. RNAcentral's name for it is "Chloroflexi bacterium tRNA-Ser". It matches the Rfam family "tRNA". From Rfam's summary of the family: Transfer RNA (tRNA) molecules are approximately 80 nucleotides in length. Their secondary structure includes four short double-helical elements and three loops (D, anti-codon, and T loops). Further hydrogen bonds mediate the characteristic L-shaped molecular structure. tRNAs have two regions of fundamental functional importance: the anti-codon, which is responsible for specific mRNA codon recognition, and the 3' end, to which the tRNAs corresponding amino acid is attached (by aminoacyl-tRNA synthetases). tRNAs cope with the degeneracy of the genetic code in two manners: having more than one tRNA (with a specific anti-codon) for a particular amino acid; and 'wobble' base-pairing, i.e. permitting non-standard base-pairing at the 3rd anti-codon position. RNAcentral also lists the same sequence under 2 other names. The record is from RNAcentral. Lineage: Bacteria; Bacillati; Chloroflexota.